CCUGCGUAAGCCACAGCAGCAGCUCGGUGUCUGCCCAGCCCGGCAGUGUCACGGCACGGCUCUUAUGUAGGUGAAGCCGGGGAACGCUGCAAGGAUCAUGUGGAGCUCUCAGUCUCCUGAGCCUGGAGCUUUGAGCCUAUUUAUAGGUUUUCUGUGGCUGCUGCACGUCCUCCUGCUGCAUCCAACGUGGAUCCGAGUGCCGUGGCUACAAAGGCUUGUCACUGUCUCAUGCUGGGUCCCUCACAUCCAAGAGCUACUUGGCAGUUUCCAAGGCAACCACCUGUGGAAUAAUUAAAAAGGAUGAAGUGUUAGCGUGCCAGAUAUAAGGAAUUCUUGCCUGGAGAGAGCGUUUCACUUUCUUCACGUCUUGAAGAAUCCAAACGUGCUUCUGCCAGCAAAGUUAAGGAAAAGGAACGGUGGCUGAGUUGCACAAGUGAACCAGGACGACACGAAAUUAAGCAAAGUGGAGUGCUCAUUUUACUAUUUUAUUCUGAGGACAAACCUGUCAGUAAUGAAUUGUUCCAGAAGUACACAAAGAAAGCUCUGCAUGGUAGAAGCUGUUUUUCCUCAGGCUGAAACUCAUCUCAGCUCCUCAUGACCAGCUGAGCAAGAGAGAUGGGAUUUGAUGCUAUCCAAGGCGUAAUUCCACAGUUCAUGUCUUCUGCUGGUGCCAGCUUAAUCAGUUUCUGCCCACUCCCAGCCAUUCGUUCCCAGCUCAGCAGCAAUGCUGUGCCACCUCUUCCCUGAGCCUGUGGAAAACCAAAUGACUGAAAAUAACUCGGUCAAGGAAAGAAACUCUUCAUUUUUUCCCUUUGUAUUAGAAUCAUUUGAAUGAAUUUCAUGGCCCACAGGCAGUGGUGUUGGUGCUGCUGAAGGUGACAAGAAAUGCAGCAUCAGAGGCAGCAGUCAGCACUGGAGGGUGUCCCAGAGCUGUGUGAUCUUGCUGUCAACAAAAAUCUGCUCUGGGAACAUAUCCUGAAUGCAGGGCUUUCACUAGCCACAGGAUUAUUUAUUGAACUGCUGCUUUUCAUUUAUUUUAUUAAGGAAGAUUAACAUCUUCUCGUUAGGGCAGGUUUGUUUUUUUUUUACUUGAGGAGAUAAACCAUCUCUGUGAGAAGUCAGUCAGCUUUGUGGACAGCCAUGAAUGUCAAUAAAGUCUUGGCAAACACAGUAGGUAUUUAUUCAGCAUUGCAAAUUAAAAACAUUUUUUCCUGCUUGUUUAGUGAAGGGAACAAAAAAAGACAAAUUACAGAGCGGAUGAGCUCUCUUGAUAGUUGGAAUUCAUUAAGCUGGUGGUGAAAACGCUGGGGGAUUGAUGGUGCAGAAAAAGAAAAGAUGAAGCAGCUUUUCCCCAAUAGCUGUGGCUUAAGUUCAAGUUGAAAAUGACCAAAAAAAAAUAAAAACCCCUUAAAGACAUCUGUAACUGACUUCACAAUCCCAGUCUCUGUCUGGGUAGACAGUUCUUUCUCACUGCAGUUUGUAUUAAUUGGUUUUUCAGUUGACAGAUAAUUUCUCAGUGGCUCCUCCAUCUCCAUCAUGCCAUGGGGUGUCUGCAGCAGCUCAUAAAUGAGAUCCAUGGCCAGACAUUAAGUAGGAAGUUCACACAGUCCCGUCCCAUGGCACAGACAGAGCAGACUUGUCACUCUGUCAUCUUCCCUCAGCUACACAUUUUAUUACUAAAAUAAAAAAAAAAAAAGGGUUUAAAAAGUUCCAGUAAGUUGAACAGUUUGUCAGAUGUGAUGUUCUCACAGGCCAUGGUCUGCAGAUUCUGGCUCUGCCUUUCAGAUGGAUCAUAAAGCUGUCAUGAGUGCAGCUCUAACAAAAUCCAUUUCCACAGCUCCUGUUAUGGCAGAGCAUGGAAAGGAAGCAGUAGGACUUAUUUUUUAAUUAAUUUCCUGAACAGAAUCAUUAGUCCACCAUGGAAAUCUUUCCAAGUCGCACCCAGUGCAUGCUCUGUGUGAUUAUCCCUGAUGAAUGGGAUAAAGUGGCCACAGCUGACACUUGGAGUCACAGACAGUUCCCAUGUCAUUCCAAGAGCAGGAAUUCUGCAUUUCAUCAUCAGACAAGAGAGAGUUCCCUACUAAGUGUUUAAAUGCAGCUAAACCACCUGUAAAUCACUAGAAUUAUUCAACAGCAAAACAAAGCCUUUGUAAACUUCAUUCUUGCAGUGCUUUAAUUGCAGUCAAAACUUUACUCAUUCAAGUGAUCCCAUCAAUGUCAAAUAAAAGCAUGAAUUGUGAAGCUUGUAAGAUUAGAGCUUAAAGUCACUGACAUGU
Long non-coding RNA from Melospiza melodia melodia, 2276 nucleotides. RefSeq lists it as uncharacterized. Lineage: Eukaryota; Metazoa; Chordata; Aves; Passeriformes; Passerellidae. The transcript is spliced from 5 exons. The record is from RefSeq and is a predicted model, not a curated record.